Long non-coding RNA from Drosophila yakuba, 707 nucleotides. RefSeq lists it as uncharacterized. NCBI's taxonomy places the organism in Eukaryota, Metazoa, Arthropoda, Insecta, Diptera, Drosophilidae. The record is from RefSeq and is a predicted model, not a curated record. The transcript is spliced from 2 exons.
AGGUUUAGGCUGCUGCGGCACAGGCCAAAUAUUAACUCAUUUUGGUUUCGGAAUCGGAUUCGGGGAUUCGGGGUAUCGGGGUUAGGCCUGUAAAAACUUUCCCUUGCCUGUGUGGCCUGUGGAUGUGGUGGGUUCAGUUUGAGGAAUUAAUUUAAUUAAAAUUGAUUAGAGAACAUUGGCGGCAGGCGUACAGCAAUGAUUGAGCUGUUUGCUGUGCAAUGAAGCGAGCGAGCUGGCCGGAAUAGAUGGAAAACACAUUUCCAUAAACACAUUUAAUUGAAUUAAAUAUUAUCGAAUGCGAAAAAAAUUGCUAUUUGUCUUUAAUUUUACCAAUGUCUGACUGAACUGUGUAUUAUAAACGGGCUUUUAUAACUUUAUUCACAGGCAGUUGAGAGCGAGCAUACUUUUGUUUUUUUUGUCAUAAUACCUUUUGCUUUAGUUAUUUUUUAUGUUAAUUAAUUUUGUAAUUAAAUAUGCAUUUAUGGCCUGGCGCGAACAUAAUUCAUCUGGCGUACAUCCAGCGGCCAUGUUGACACAUGUUUGAAACGUAAAUAAAUAAUGCAACAAACAAACAAGAAGCAAUGCAACGCAACGGACACCGUAAACAGGGAUGUGGGAAAGUGGGAGGGUAAAUAUAUUUCAAAUAAAUAUUAAUGGCUGCGACCAGGCGCAAAUGAUUUUCAUGUAAUUAUACAAAUAGCUAAUUA